GCACAAACAAGUUCUGACAGACUUCAGUGGGUUACAGGACAUCAUCCAGCAGGCUGCGGACACUUCCUGAUGUCAGUCAUUGCAGCAGCAGGAAACAAAUGUUGGUAUCAAGCAGCAGCAGAUGGACUCAAACAAACGUGAAAGCAGAAGAAAAUAUUCAGUUUUCUGCAGGAGACCCAGCAGGGCCAGAGGCCCCUCGGAGCCCCGCCCAUCAACCGCAGCCAGUCUGAGAACUCCAGCAGCGGAGACAGCGAGUCCUCCACCUCCUGUUAGUUUGAGGAUCUGAUCCAGAACCUUUUGUACUGGAGGACAAUAAUGAAGCACAGAUGUUACCAACUUCCUUUGAGCAAGGCAGCAGACUUGUUCCUGUUUUAGCUGAACUGAUUUAGGAAUAUUUAGGAUUUCUUAGUUUUUUUCUGGUUUGUCUCCAUGAAAAUAGUUUUUCACAUUUUUACAUGAAGCAGUCGAUGUGCACGUCAGACGCUGGGAUAAAGUAAAGAUGCAAAGUUUAGACUCGGGCACUGCAGGUCCAAGGUUCACGUCCUGCGGGUGUGGAUUUAUUCUGCAACACAGGUGGGGGACUGCAGGCCUCGAGGGUCUCCUGCAGGUUUGAGAUCUCACCCUGGUCAACACACCUGGAUCACAUGAUUAGUUCAUUAGCAGGAGAACUUCAACACAUGUUGAGGAGGUCAUUUAGCCUUUAAAUCAGCUGUGCUGGAUCAAGGACACAUCUCUGCUCUAAAACGUAAUCUUUCCUUCUGAUUGUCCGAUCAGGAAAAAGACGCCAUUGACCCUCGAGUCAGCCGCUCGACUCGACCUUUGAGUCGGUGCGGACUGUUGUUCUGUUGUAAACCAGAGCAAGGAGCUCUUUUAUACCAGCUGAGAUUAUGGUUGAUAUAUAUUUUGGGGGAAAACAGAUAUUAGUUGUCAUGGAUGCGGGUGGUGGUGUUUCCUUUAAAACAUAUUCGCUGCUGCAGAUUCAUGAAAUAAUAAAUGUGACUCGUGAGGAAGAUUCUGCUGCUUGAUGAAAGCGUAACAAUAAUCACUAGAAAAAUAAAUGACGGUGUGUCAUCUUCACCAAUGUAAAGUGAAUUUAAUGUCCCGUCUUUAAUCUGUCUUACUGUCUGCGUGUUUCCAGCGUUACUGAGGGGGGGGCAUCGAGAUAAUUGGUUCUGCAUUUCAUUACUUCCUCAUUAAAGGCUCAUAAAAACA
Long non-coding RNA from Astatotilapia calliptera (eastern happy), 1212 nucleotides. Lineage: Eukaryota; Metazoa; Chordata; Actinopteri; Cichliformes; Cichlidae. The record is from Ensembl.